GAUGAACGCUGGCGGCGUGCUUAACACAUGCAAGUCGAACGGUGAAGGAGGAGCUUGCUCUUCUGGAUCAGUGGCGAACGGGUGAGUAACACGUGAGCAAUCUGCCCUUGACUCUGGGAUAACAGUUGGAAACAGCUGCUAAUACCGGAUACGAGACGUGACCGCAUGGUCAACGUUUGGAAAGAACUUCGGUCAAGGAUGAGCUCACGGCCUAUCAGCUAGUUGGUGAGGUAAUGGCUCACCAAGGCGACGACGGGUAGCCGGCCUGAGAGGGUGACCGGGCCACACUGGGACUGAGACACGGCCCAGACUCCUACGGGAGGCAGCAGUGGGGAAUAUUGCGCAAUGGGGGAAACCCUGACGCAGCGACGCCGCGUGAGCGAAGAAGGCCUUCGGGUUGUAAAGCUCUGUGUAAGGGACGAAGGAGCUGGGUAGUAACUGACCUGGCGGUGACGGUACCUUACCAGCAAGCCCCGGCUAACUACGUGCCAGCACG
RNAcentral lists this ribosomal RNA (496 nucleotides) under uncultured bacterium. RNAcentral describes it as "bacterial SSU rRNA". It matches the Rfam family "Bacterial small subunit ribosomal RNA", at positions 28 to 515 of the family's 1533-position model. The record is from RNAcentral.